CGGAGCUGUUUCAUUUUCAAUGAGUUUGUUUCUAGUGUCGCAUUGACUCUUUAGGCUGUGACUAGAUCCACACUCAUUAAAAAUGGCAGCCA
Molecule: microRNA precursor, 92 nt
Filed under: Belgica antarctica
Lineage: Eukaryota; Metazoa; Arthropoda; Insecta; Diptera; Chironomidae
Source: RNAcentral